RNAcentral lists this ribosomal RNA (258 nucleotides) under uncultured bacterium. RNAcentral describes it as "partial 16S ribosomal RNA". It matches the Rfam family "Bacterial small subunit ribosomal RNA", at positions 524 to 776 of the family's 1533-position model. The record is from RNAcentral.
UACGCAGGUGGCAAGCGUUGUCCGGAUUUAUUGGGUUUAAAGGGUGCGUAGGCGGCUUUGUAAGUCAGUGGUGAAAUACUCCAGCUUAACUGGAGGGGUGCCAUUGAUACUGCGGAGCUUGAGUACAGAUGAGGUAGGCGGAAUUGACGGUGUAGCGGUGAAAUGCAUAGAUAUCGUCAAGAACACCGAUAGCGAAGGGCAGCUUACUGGGCUGUAAACUGACGCUGAUGCACGAAAAGUGUGGGGGAUCAAAACAGG